Molecule: long non-coding RNA, 2102 nt
Organism: Hypanus sabinus (Atlantic stingray)
Lineage: Eukaryota; Metazoa; Chordata; Chondrichthyes; Myliobatiformes; Dasyatidae
Exons: 3
Source: RefSeq, a predicted model, not a curated record
UACACAAAGCUGCUGGUGACAGUUCUGCAUCACUACAGCAAGUUCUGAGAUGGUUUGCAAUAGAAGAAGUUCAGAUUCUCAUCAAGGGAGCAAUUGCUGAACAUUCAGAAAUGGAACAAGCAAGAAUUUUGAAGCAAUUUUGGUCUGCAUCCCCAGAAAUGUACUGGUUUUAUGGAAUAGAGCUACAGAAGGCUCCUUACACUUCGUCCUUUGACGGUAGCAUUGAGAAAAAGGCAUGCCUUGUGCGAUGGGGUCAUUAAUGAUGGAUGCUGUCAUUUUGAGAUUCCAACAGCUGCAUCGUACAAAUCAAGGCAGCUUUUUCUUCUCUCCUGCAAUGACUCACUAAGUGCCGGAGGAACUCGACAAACCAGGCAACAUCAAUGGAGAGAAAAGAACAGAGGAUGAAGACUUGCCCUUAGUUUUAUUCACAGGUCUUCAUUUCCACCUCAUGCAGUGAGAUCUGCUGUGAUUCACAAGCCUUCCCAUGCAGCAACAUUUGUGUUUUCUUCAACGCCACCCUAUCACAGAGAUCUCCUUUCUUUCAUCUUCCCUCCCCAUUCUCUGUCACUUGAAGUUAGUAUGUUUAGUCUGGUUCCGAUGAAAUGUCACCAGCCUGAAAAGUUAACCUUACCUCUCUCUCAACAGAUACUGACUGACCUGUGGAGUAUUUGCAAUACUUCCUGUCUUUAUUUCAAUUACUUAGAUAGAGUUAGAGUCAUAGAGCACUACAGCCCAGCAACAAGCCCUCAGCCCAUCUAGUCUGUUAUACUGCUAUUCUGGCUGGACUCAACAUGCACCUGGACCAUAGUUCUCCAUACCCAUCCCAUCCAUCUCCUUAACCAAAUGUCUCUUUAAUGUUGAAACAUAACCCGCAUCCACCACUUCCACUGGGUGCUCAGUCCACACUCUCAUUGCCCUCUGAAUUCUACCUCGUGUUCCCCUUAAACAUUUCACCUUUCACCCUUAACCCAUGACCUCUAGUUCUAGUCCAAGCAAAUCUCAGUGGGAAAUGAUUGCUUUGCCCUAUCUAUACUCCUCAUAAUUUUGCAUACCUCCAUCAAAUCUCCUCUCAGUCUUCGACACUUCAGGGAAUAAUGUCCUGAACUAUUUAAACUUUCCUAUCAAUCAGGUCCAAAAAUUCCAGCAACAUAGGUCAAUAGGAAGAACAUGCUAACAGCAACAGUGGGGUCAAAAAAACAGGUGUAGUUUCUAAGUUCUUGUUGGAUGCAAUCGAAGGGAGAUGAGGAAGAGUGUUUUCACCAAGGUAGUGUUAAAGUUUUAGAACUCACUGCCUGAGAAAGUGAUCGAGGCAGAAGUUGCCAUCGUAGUGCUUGAAUAUGUACCUGAAAAACCUUGAUUUACCAAGCAGCAAACGUGAUGCUACAAGAUAAUUUCAUGGAGAGAUGCAACAUAGAAACAGGCCCUUCAGCCCAUUAUUUCCAUGCCAAUCUUCAAACACACAUUUACACUAAUCCUAUCAGAAUUCCACUUUUAUUCCCCCUCGUUCACAUCAACAUCUUCCACUCAUCUACACACCAAGGGCAAAAUAACAGUGUUCGAUUAACUUACCAAACAACACGUCUUUGUGAUGUGUGACAAUAGACAAUAGACAGUAGGUGCAGGAGUAGGCCAUUCGUCCCUUCUAGCCAGCACCACCAUUCACUGUGAUCAUGGCUGAUCAUACACAAUCAGUACCCUGUUCCUGCCCUCUCCCCAUAUCCCUUGACCCCGCUAUCUAUAAGAGCUCUAUCUAACUCUCUCUUGAAUGAAUCCAGAGACUUGGCCUCCACUGCCUUCUGGGGCAGAGCAUUCCACAUAUCCACCACUCUCUGGGUGAAAAAGUUUUUCCGCAUCUCUGUUCUAAAUGGCCUACCCUUAUUCUUAAACUGUGGCCUCUAGUUCUGGACUCAACCAUCAGCAGGAUCAUGCUUCCUGCCUCCAGUGUGUCCAAUCCCUUAAUAACCUUAUAUGUUUCAAUCAGAUCCCCUCUCAUCCUUCUAAAUUCCAGUGUAUACAAGCCCAGUCACUCCAAUCUUUCAACAUAUGACAGUCCUGCCAUUCCGGGAAUUAACCUUGUGAACCUACGCUGCACUCCCUCAAUA